GACGAACGCUGGCGGCGCGCCUAACACAUGCAAGUCGAACGAGCGAGAGAGAGCUUGCUUUCUCGAGCGAGUGGCGAACGGGUGAGUAACGCGUGAGGAACCUGCCUCAAAGAGGGGGACAACAGUUGGAAACGACUGCUAAUACCGCAUAAGCCCACGGGUCGGCAUCGACCAGAGGGAAAAGGAGCAAUCCGCUUUGAGAUGGCCUCGCGUCCGAUUAGCUAGUUGGUGAGGUAACGGCCCACCAAGGCGACGAUCGGUAGCCGGACUGAGAGGUUGAACGGCCACAUUGGGACUGAGACACGGCCCAGACUCCUACGGGAGGCAGCAGUGGGGAAUAUUGCACAAUGGGGGAAACCCUGAUGCAGCGACGCCGCGUGGAGGAAGAAGGUCUUCGGAUUGUAAACUCCUGUUGUUGAGGAAGAUAAUGACGGUAC
Molecule: ribosomal RNA, 437 nt
Filed under: uncultured bacterium
Lineage: Bacteria
Description: bacterial SSU rRNA
Rfam family: Bacterial small subunit ribosomal RNA
Source: RNAcentral